Molecule: ribosomal RNA, 467 nt
Filed under: uncultured bacterium
Lineage: Bacteria
Description: partial 16S ribosomal RNA
Rfam family: Bacterial small subunit ribosomal RNA
Source: RNAcentral
GAUGAACGCUGGCGGCGUGCUUAACACAUGCAAGUCGAACGGAAAGGCCCAAGCUUGCUUGGGUACUCGAGUGGCGAACGGGUGGGUAACACGUGGGUGAUCUGCCCUGCACUUCGGGAUAAGCCUGGGAAACUGGGUCUAAUACCGGAUAGGACCACAUUUUGGAUGGUGUGGUGGAAAGUUUUUCGGUGUGGGAUGAGCUCGCGGCCUAUCAGCUUGUUGGUGGGGUAAUGGCCUACCAAGGCGUCGACGGGUAGCCGGCCUGAGAGGGUGUACGGCCACAUUGGGACUGAGAUACGGCCCAGACUCCUACGGGAGGCAGCAAUGGGGAAUAUUGCACAAUGGGCGCAAGCCUGAUGCAGCGACGCCGCGUGGGGGAUGACGGCCUUCGGGUUGUAAACUCCUUUCGCUAGGGACGAAGCGUUUUUGUGACGGUACCUGGAGAAGAAGCACCGGCUAACUACGUG